Molecule: long non-coding RNA, 1014 nt
Organism: Magnolia sinica
Lineage: Eukaryota; Viridiplantae; Streptophyta; Magnoliopsida; Magnoliales; Magnoliaceae
Exons: 5
Source: RefSeq, a predicted model, not a curated record
UCAACCUGAUGAAGGAUGUCACAUAAAUGUGUCAUGUUGGCACAUGUGUGAUGAUUCACCUCUUGGAUAUCUCCUUGUUUUAUUUAUUUAUUUAUUAUUAUUAUUUUUUGAUGUUCUCAUUGUCUAUGUGAGGGAGUUCACCCUUAUAUAAGAUGUGAACAAACAUAAAUCACUCAUGCUUGCCUGUCAGCCUGCUUGGAUGUAUGCAAUUUUGUGUAAUCUUUCAUCUGUAUGUAAUUGAAUAAUAAUGUUGAUUUUCAGCUACAAGGACCGAUUUCUUGCUGCUUUGCCAGCACCUCGUUGAGCAAGUGUUGACUUCAGUCGGCCUGUUUUCACAGCCACUGCAUUCUACUUGUGUGCAAAAAGGCACAAGCUUAAAGUAGACAAGAUUAAGCUUAUUGAGCUAUGUGGCACAUCAGAAUCUGAAUUUACUAGUGUUUUCCUGCAUCAAUUUUCUCAUAAGAUGUUGCUUCUUGUGCAACAGAUUUUGUACAUGCAUGUUUCCAUUUUCACCAAGACACUAAGAAUAAAAGACAAACAACAGAUGACUGUGACUCUGUAACAGCCAAAAAGAAUAUAAUCAUAUUUGUUGAAGUCCACUUCUCUUGUUGUAGAUAAGAACCUACUGAAUCAGAAUGUCGUCAUUAAGUAACAAAGCAUGGAUGGACAAACAUAGGUUAAGUCCAGAAUAUUUGGAUGGACUUGUGCAUUUUAUUGAGUUUACAAAGAACAACGGUGGUGGAUUUGAUCAUUAUUCGUUUCCGUGUGUGAAAUGUAGAAAUGGGAGUGGGAUGUUCACUCUUGGAGAGAUUCAUGAGCAUUUGCUCAUUAACGGUAUGGAUAAGUCAUACACACAUUGGAUUUUUCACGGUGAAAGUCUUGCGAAAAGUAACGAGAAACCAUCAUCAUCGACGUUUGAUGAUCAAUCCGAUGAUGAGUAUCCUAGAAUGGAGGAACUUGUUAAUGAUGCAUUUAGAAAUAUUGGAGAACAUGCUGAUACUCUUAUGGAUGAUC